This 467-nucleotide ribosomal RNA is filed under the name uncultured delta proteobacterium. RNAcentral's name for it is "bacterial SSU rRNA". It matches the Rfam family "Bacterial small subunit ribosomal RNA", at positions 338 to 796 of the family's 1533-position model. Lineage: Bacteria; Deltaproteobacteria. The record is from RNAcentral.
CCUACGGGAGGCAGCAGUGGGGAAUCUUGCGCAAUGGGAGCAAUCCUGACGCAGCAACGCCGCGUGGGUGAUGAAGGUCUUCGGAUCGUAAAGCCCUGUCGGAGGGGAAGAUGCUUGGCAUGGCUAACAUCCAUGUCAGGUGACGGUACCCUCAAAGGAAGCACCGGCUAACUCUGUGCCAGCAGCCGCGGUAAUACAGAGGGUGCAAGCGUUGUUCGGAAUUAUUGGGCGUAAAGGGAGUGUAGGCGGCUAGGAAAGUCUUCUGUGAAAUCUACGGGCUCAGCCUGUAACGUGCAGAGGAAACUAUCUGGCUAGAGUGUCGGAGAGGAUAGGGGAAUACCCGGUGUAGAGGUGAAAUUCGUAGAGAUCGGGUGGAACACCAGUGGCGAAGGCGCCUGUCUGGCUGACAACUGACGCUGAGACUCGAAAGCAUGGGGAGCAAACAGGAUUAGAUACCCUGGUAGUCC